This 630-nucleotide ribosomal RNA is filed under the name uncultured bacterium. Its description in RNAcentral is "bacterial SSU rRNA". It matches the Rfam family "Bacterial small subunit ribosomal RNA", at positions 8 to 631 of the family's 1533-position model. The record is from RNAcentral.
AGAGUUUGAUCCUGGCCCAGGACGAACGCUGGCGGCGUGCCUAAUACAUGCAAGUUGAGCGCUGAAGGUUGGUACUUGUACCAACUGGAUGAGCAGCGAACGGGUGAGUAACGCGUGGGGAAUCUGCCUUUGAGCGGGGGACAACAUUUGGAAACGAAUGCUAAUACCGCAUAAAAACUUUAAACACAAGUUUUAAGUUUGAAAGAUGCAAUUGCAUCACUCAAAGAUGAUCCCGCGUUGUAUUAGCUAGUUGGUGAGGUAAAGGCUCACCAAGGCGAUGAUACAUAGCCGACCUGAGAGGGUGAUCGGCCACAUUGGGACUGAGACACGGCCCAAACUCCUACGGGAGGCAGCAGUAGGGAAUCUUCGGCAAUGGACGAAAGUCUGACCGAGCAACGCCGCGUGAGUGAAGAAGGUUUUCGGAUCGUAAAACUCUGUUGGUAGAGAAGAACGUUGGUGAGAGUGGAAAGCUUCAUCAAGUGACGGUAACUACCCAAAAGGGACGGCUAACUACGUGCAACAAGCCGNGGAAUACCUAGGUCCNANCGUUUCCGGAUUAUUGGGCCUAAACNANCCCAAGUGGGUUAAUAAGCUNGGGUAAAAGCAUGGGUUAACNUUUGGUUCCNUGGA